Long non-coding RNA from Homo sapiens (human), 921 nucleotides. Ensembl annotates it as RELA divergent transcript. Its record names the gene RELA-DT. Lineage: Eukaryota; Metazoa; Chordata; Mammalia; Primates; Hominidae. The record is from Ensembl.
GCGGCCGCCCGCCCCGCGCAGGGAAAAGCCCGACCGGGCCUUCUGCUCCGCAGAGGCCGGGUGGUUGAACUCCGCGCGGGUUUCCUAACCGCUAAAGGUGCCUUUCGGUGGUGGCUGUCUCAGAAGCACGUUAAAAUGUCCUACCCACCCCAAUCUAGAUGCGGCUGUGGGGGAAUGGGAGCGGCCGGACCUCCCAGCCUGACAGUGCAUCAAGAGCUUUGCGGAGCCUACAGCCCGGAUGGGACGACUGAGGCCCUCCCGCUGGCGAGCUGGCCGAGGGCUCGUCCCUCUCCAGCUAAAGCGCCAGCUUACGAUACAGCCAAACUGCCGGCUCUCAUCGGCUGUGGGAGCAGGAGGCCCCCAGGGGUAAAUCCCGGAGCCUCGUCUCUGAAGCCUGGCGCUUGUGUCUCAGAAGAUGGAGUUCCUCUCUUGUGGCCCAGGCUGGAGUGCAAUAGCACCAUCUCGGCUCACUGCAACCUCUGCCUCCCAGGUUCAAGUGAUUCUCCUGCCUUAGCCUCCUGAGUAGCUAGGAUUACAGAUUUAUAGGAGCAUUGUGACUGGACCAAGGACAAAGAAGUUCCCAACCUCCUCAGACCCUCGCUGCUGCCCAGAUGUCUGCCAUGGGGUGGCCAUCAUCGAAUCCACUGAGGGCGCAAAUAGAACAAAAAGGUGAAGAAAAGGUGAAUUCUCUCCUUUCUUGAGCUGGGACAUCCAACUUCUCAGACAUCAGAGCUCCUGGAGGCCUUCAGACUCCGAGACAUUACACCAUUGGCUCACCUGGUCCUCAGGUCUUUGGACUUGGAAUGAAUUACACCAUUGGCUUUCCAGGUCUUCCAGCUUGCAGAUGGCAGAUUGUGGGACUUUUCAGCCUCCAUAACUUUGUCAUCCAAUUCCCAUAAUAAAUCGCCUCUUAUAUCUGUA